RNAcentral lists this non-coding RNA (21 nucleotides) under Caenorhabditis elegans. The record is from RNAcentral. Lineage: Eukaryota; Metazoa; Nematoda; Chromadorea; Rhabditida; Rhabditidae.
UAAAAUCUAUCCGUCGAAAAA